This 253-nucleotide ribosomal RNA is filed under the name uncultured bacterium. RNAcentral's name for it is "partial 16S ribosomal RNA". It matches the Rfam family "Bacterial small subunit ribosomal RNA", at positions 524 to 776 of the family's 1533-position model. The record is from RNAcentral.
UACGUAGGGGGCGAGCGUUAUCCGGAUUCACUGGGUGUAAAGGGAGCGUAGACGGCCAUGCAAGCCAGGGGUGAAAGCCCGGGGCCCAACCCCGGGACUGCCCUUGGAACUGCAUGGCUGGAGUGCGGGAGGGGCAGGCGGAACUCCUGGUGUAGCGGUGAAAUGCGUAGAUAUCAGGAGGAACACCGGCGGCGAAGGCGGCCUGCUGGACCGCGACUGACGUUGAGGCUCGAAAGCGUGGGGAGCGAACAGG